This 2935-nucleotide long non-coding RNA is filed under the name Homo sapiens (human). Its description in RNAcentral is "non-protein coding lnc-NES-2:2". The record is from RNAcentral. Lineage: Eukaryota; Metazoa; Chordata; Mammalia; Primates; Hominidae.
CUCUGCUUCGGCUCCGGCAGCAGCGGCGAGAGCAAGGACGAGCGAAGUAGGACAUCGUUCAGCGGAUGAGAAGCCGAGGGCUUGGAGUAGGGAGGAGGGGCAGGAGGGGCGGGGAGGGAGCGUUCGCCCAGCGUUCGCUGAGCUAAAGGAUGACGAUGUUGCAGCUGGAGGGGUGGAAGUUGGACAACUGGAGAGUCUUCUCGUUGUUCAAAGAAGAAGGAGGAGGGAGUCAAUUAGACUGUAAGAAGUGGAUGAAGGGAGAAUGGGGGCUUUGCUCCUGAAAAGAGACACCCUUUCUAAUAAAAAAAAUGGAAAACUCUUUUCUGGAGGCAGAAUGGGGUGCAAAGGACCGUAGCUACCUCCCUGGAGGCAGCUAUGAUUGGGCAUUGGCUCCUGUGGUGCUCCCACUCCCUGCACAGAGGAGGAGCUGACUUUGCAGCUGGAAGGAUGGAGGUUAGACAGCAGAAUCAUGGGUUAAGCAAAGCAAUUCAGGAAAUCUCUAGACCUGGGGUGGGGGUGGGGUGAGGGUGGCCCUGUGAAGGGACAUUACCAGUCAUGCAAACCAAUGUGCAAAAUGCAGGCGUUGCUGGGAGCCCAGAAGGCCUACUGGCCAGGGCUGUCGAUGCUGAAUGUGCAGCCUGAUGCCAGGGGGUGGGCCUUGAGUGCUGCCCAGCCAGGAACUCCUCAGCGCCCAGAAUACCAAUGACCCUCCUUUCCCCCAGCUCCAGGGCCUCUGCUUCCCUCUCCUUUCCCAGGCUCUCUUUGCUUUUCCCUCCUCCCUCCUGGGACUGUAGGCAAAGCCCCUGGCACGGACAGUGGGCAGGACAGCCAGAUGCCUAGAUUCCCUCCCCUGGAUACCAAUAUUGGCACCAAGGAUAGCUUUGGAGGGCUUUGAUCCUCAUAAUCUCCACAGCAUCUUCAAAAUACCCCAAGUAAAGUAAGGUGCAUUCAAUGCAAAUGCAACCUCAAGGCAGAUCCCCAGCCUUCCAUCUAGACUGCACCCUAGGUCCCUCUUGGGAACUCUGGACUGCUCCCCACUGAAUGUGCCAACGCCCCCACUCACCACUGCCUGGCUUUCACUCCCAGUGCCAUGGACUUGGUUCCAAAGGGCUUUGAGAACCUCACAUAAAAACCCACUCCAAUUGCGCACACACACAGCAACCUAAUCUGCCCAGAUCUCCUGGCCAGGAGGUCAGAGGACCACUGCCCUGGAGAGCUCAUUAUUUGGGAGUAGAGACCUUUCCAGAGGAUUUCUCAGGGGAGGAAAUGGGCACUCUGAGGCUUUUCCAACAUUUCCAGCUGAGAAAAUUUAUACUGAAGGCUAACCUGCAGUUUGAACCAGCAAUUGCUGAUCAGAGACUCUCUUUACAAUUACGGACACUUGGCCAUAUGUGUCUUCCCCCGUUUCUAUUUACUUUCUGAGAGGAGGCAAGAAUCAGCCUCCUCCAGAGGCAAGAACCCCCUCCAGAGGAGGGGCUCUGCCUAGCCCCUCCAGAUCUCAGAAAGAGAUCCCUGGGGAUUGGCUGAAAGCAAACAGAAUCAAUGGCAGCGGGAAGAAUGAAAGUCAGAUUUCAGGUAGAACCUCCUGUCUCAGUAACAGGAGAAAAAUUCCUCCAGUAACCUUGAAUAUCUUCUGAACACGGAAACUGAGACCCAAAGAGGUCAAGCAACUGUCCAGAGUCACACAGCAUGGAACUGGCUGAACCAUGACCAAAAAUCAAGUCUCCUGACUCCCAGGCCAAGGUUCUUGCCAGGGCUCCCCAGAUGUCUAUCAGGGGAGGGAGAAAGAGGGAGGUGGAGAGAAGAAAGAGAGAGAGGGAGAGCGUGGGCAGCUCUCCUCCCUCUCCCACGUGCAGCCCAGCUGGCUGCCUCCCAGUCUCCUGGGCCCUGGGGAAUUUUCCAGCCUCUCUGGAUGAGAACAAUCAAUCUCCUGCCUCCACCGGACCCCCAACAUCCCCCAUCCAUGCCAAAGCUGAGGCCAUGACCCAAGUUGAGAAAAGAGAAUCUGCCCUCCACGCUCCUGCAUCCUGAGUUCCCCCCAUCUCCAGUGUUAGCCUUGGGCCUUCCUCACUGGAUUCUAUUCCACAGUGGCCACUGGGAGAGCCUGUCCUGCCAACCUCCUUGAACACCUGCCCCCUUUCUCCCAGACUUGGAGUGGGGGCCUAGGCAGCUGAGUUCCUCUCCGAGGCCCUGCACGGGCAUCUGGGUCUUGUGCCAUAGGCAUGUGGGAGUAGGGCUGAAGAGGGGGAUGUGGCUCUGAAUGCUGGCACAGCUGUGUUCAGAGAAUGGGGGCUUUGAUAGCUUCUGAAAGAGGCCAGGAAGCACGGGACCCCAGCCCAGGCAGGAGGGGGUGGGGGGCAGAAAUGGCUGAGUGUGGCUCUGAGGGCUCUUGCUGCCGCAGACAGGGAGUGUGGAGUGGGAGGGGAUGUGGAGCAGUAGGGAGACAGCAAUGGGGACUACAGGCUGAACAGCAUCAUCAGAGAGCCCCCCUGCUGCACCAGCAGGAGCCAGCGUCCCCAUGAGCUGGUCAGACCGCGCUUUGAGGGUUGCAAACCCAUGUGUUCAGAGGAGACCAUCAGCUUGUUGCACAAAGAACAGCGGGAGGAACUGGAGGGCUGGAGCCCGAGUACAUCUGAAUUUACCUCUUGAGGUCCCACCAGAAGGCUGCCUGUAGUGCCUCUCCCAGCCUCCUAUGGGGAAGGACCACUCAUUUGUCUGUGAUGUUGGGGCAGGUACUAAUCUCCCUGUGCUUCAGUUUCUUCACCUGUAAAAUGGUAAUAACCCCUUGUUGUAUGGUUUUGAUGUUGGAGCCAUGUAAAUAUUUUAUAUAAUUAAAAUACGAAAUUAAUUAGAGAGAGUUUACAUUAAUUUUAAUUAAAUUAAAAUGAAGAAAAAUGAAGCAAUCCCUAAAAGUAUAAAACAAAUUGUAACAAAU